CCUACGGGUGGCUGCAGUGGGGAAUAUUGGACAAUGGGCGAAAGCCUGAUCCAGCCAUGCCGCGUGUGUGAAGAAGGCCUUCGGGUUGUAAAGCACUUUCAGUGGGGAAGAAAGCCUUGGGGCUAAUACCCUCGAGGAAGGACAUCACCCACAGAAGAAGCACCGGCUAACUCCGUGCCAGCAGCCGCGGUAAUACGGAGGGUGCGAGCGUUAAUCGGAAUUACUGGGCGUAAAGCGCGCGUAGGCGGUCUGAUAAGCCGGUUGUGAAAGCCCCGGGCUCAACCUGGGAACGGCAUCCGGAACUGUCAGGCUAGAGUGCAGGAGAGGAAGGUAGAAUUCCCGGUGUAGCGGUGAAAUGCGUAGAGAUCGGGAGGAAUACCAGUGGCGAAGGCGGCCUUCUAGACUGACACUGACGCUGAGGUGCGAAAGCGUGGGUAGCAAACAGGAUUAGAUACCCGGGUAGUC
RNAcentral lists this ribosomal RNA (465 nucleotides) under Vreelandella stevensii. Its description in RNAcentral is "partial 16S ribosomal RNA". It matches the Rfam family "Bacterial small subunit ribosomal RNA", at positions 338 to 795 of the family's 1533-position model. The record is from RNAcentral. Lineage: Bacteria; Pseudomonadati; Pseudomonadota; Gammaproteobacteria; Oceanospirillales; Halomonadaceae.